GUGAGGAAUAUUGCGCAAUGGAGGCAACUCUGACGCAGCCAUGCCGCGUGCAGGAAGAAGGCGCUACGCGUUGUAAACUGCUUUUAACCGGGAAGAAACCCCAGGACGUGUCCUGGGUUGACGGUACCGGAGGAAUAAGCACCGGCUAACUUCGUGCCAGAAGCCGCGGUAAUACGAAGGGUGCAAGCGUUAUCCGGAUUCAUUGGGUUUAAAGGGUGCGUAGGCGGAGCGUUAAGUCAGUGGUGAAAUCCUGAAGCUUAACUGUAGAAUUGCCAUUGAUACUGGCGCUCUUGAGUGCGCUUGAAGUGGGCGGAAUGUGCCGUGUAGCGGUGAAAUGCUUAGAUAUGGCACAGAACACCAAUUGCGAAGGCAGCUCACUAAGGCGAUACUGACGCUGAGGCACGAAAGCGUGGGGAUCGAACAGGAUUAGAAACCCGAGUAGUCC
RNAcentral lists this ribosomal RNA (445 nucleotides) under uncultured bacterium. RNAcentral describes it as "partial 16S ribosomal RNA". It matches the Rfam family "Bacterial small subunit ribosomal RNA", at positions 354 to 796 of the family's 1533-position model. The record is from RNAcentral.